AGCAGCCGCGGUAAUACGGAGGGUGCAAGCGUUACUCGGAAUCACUGGGCGUAAAGCGCGCGCAGGCGGACUAAUAAGCUAGAAGUGAAAUGCUGUGGCUCAACCAUAGAACUGCUUCUAGAACUGUUAGUCUAGAGUCUGGGAGGGGAAGAUGGAAUUAGUUGUGUAGGGGUAAAAUCCGUAGAGAUAACUAGGAAUACCAAAAGCGAAGGCGAUCUUCUGGAACAGUACUGACGCUGAGGCGCGAAAGCGUGGGGAGCAAACAGGAUUAGAUACCCUGGUAGUCCACGCCCUAAACGAUGAAUGUUAGUCGUUGGAUAGCUAGUCUAUUCAGUGAUGCAGUUAACACAUUAAACAUUCCGCCUGGGGAGUACGGUCGCAAGAUUAAAACUCAAAGGAAUAGACGGGGACCCGCACAAGUGGUGGAGCAUGUGGUUUAAUUCGAAGAUACGCGAAGAACCUUACCUAGCCUUGACAUUGAUAGAACACUUUAGAGAUAGAGUGGUGCCCUUCGGGGAACUUGAAAACAGGUGCUGCACGGCUGUCGUCAGCUCGUGUCGUGAGAUGUUGGGUUAAGUCCCGCAACGAGCGCAACCCUCGUGACUAGUUACUAACGGUUCGGCCGAGGACUCUAGUCAGACUGCCUUCGCAAGGAGGAGGAAGGUGAGGACGACGUCAAGUCAUCAUGGCCCUUACGGCUAGGGCGACACACGUGCUACAAUGGGUAGGACAAUGAGAAGCGAUACCGCGAGGUGGAGCAAAUCUAUAAACCUACUCUCAGUUCGGAUAGCAGUCUGCAACUCGACUGCUUGAAGCUGGAAUCACUAGUAAUCGUAGAUCAGCCAUGCUACGGUGAAUACGU
Molecule: ribosomal RNA, 862 nt
Filed under: uncultured bacterium
Lineage: Bacteria
Description: bacterial SSU rRNA
Rfam family: Bacterial small subunit ribosomal RNA
Source: RNAcentral